UACGGAGGAUGCGAGCGUUAUCCGGAUUUAUUGGGUGUAAAGGGUGCGUAGGCGGACUGUCAAGUCAGCGGUAAAAUUGAGAGGCUCAACCUCUUCCCGCCGUUGAAACUGGUGGUCUUGAGUGGAUGAGAAGUACGCGGAAUGCGUGGUGUAGCGGUGAAAUGCAUAGAUAUCACGCAGAACUCCGAUUGCGAAGGCAGCGUACCGGCAUCCAACUGACGCUGAGGCACGAAAGCGUGGGGAUCAAACAGG
RNAcentral lists this ribosomal RNA (252 nucleotides) under uncultured bacterium. RNAcentral's name for it is "partial 16S ribosomal RNA". It matches the Rfam family "Bacterial small subunit ribosomal RNA", at positions 524 to 776 of the family's 1533-position model. The record is from RNAcentral.